GUGAGGAAUAUUGGUCAAUGGACGGAAGUCUGAACCAGCCAUGCCGCGUGCAGGAAUAAGGUCCUAUGGAUUGUAAACUGCUUUUAUUCGGGAAUAAACCUCUUUACGUGUAGGGAGCUGAAGGUACCGAAGGAAUAAGCACCGGCUAACUCCGUACCAGCAGCCGCGGUAAUACGGAGGGUGCAAGCGUUAUCCGGAAUCAUUGGGUUUAAAGGGUCCGCAGGCGGGCUAUCAAGUCAGAGGUGAAAUCCCACAGCUUAACUGUGGAACUGCCUUUGAAACUGAUGGUCUUGAAUUAAGUGGGCGUUGGCGGAAUAUGACAUGUGGCGGUGAAAUGCAUAGAUAUGUCAUGGAACACCGAAAGCGAAGGCAGCUAACGAUACUUAUAUUGACGCUCAUGGACGAAAGCGUGGGUAGCGAACAGGAUUAGAUACCCGAGUAGUCC
RNAcentral lists this ribosomal RNA (445 nucleotides) under uncultured bacterium. RNAcentral's name for it is "partial 16S ribosomal RNA". It matches the Rfam family "Bacterial small subunit ribosomal RNA", at positions 354 to 796 of the family's 1533-position model. The record is from RNAcentral.